This 506-nucleotide ribosomal RNA is filed under the name uncultured bacterium. RNAcentral describes it as "partial 16S ribosomal RNA". It matches the Rfam family "Bacterial small subunit ribosomal RNA", at positions 28 to 523 of the family's 1533-position model. The record is from RNAcentral.
GAUGAACGCUAGCUACAGGCUUAACACAUGCAAGUCGCGGGGCAGCAUGUCGGUUGCUUGCAACCGAUGAUGGCGACCGGCGCACGGGUGAGUAACGCGUAUCCAACCUGCCCUUCACCACGGAAUAAUCCAGUGAAAAUUGGUCUAAUACCGUAUGAGGUCAUACGAUGGCAUCAGAAUAUGACGAAAGGUUUGGCGGUGAAGGAUGGGGAUGCGUCUGAUUAGCUUGUUGGUGAGGUAACGGCUCACCAAGGCGACGAUCAGUAGGGGUUCUGAGAGGAAGGUCCCCCACAUUGGAACUGAGACACGGUCCAAACUCCUACGGGAGGCAGCAGUGAGGAAUAUUGGUCAAUGGGCGAGAGCCUGAACCAGCCAAGUAGCGUGCAGGAAGACGGCCCUAUGGGUUGUAGACUACUUUUAUAUGGGGAUAAAGUGAGCUACGUGUAGUUUAUUGCAGGUACCAUAUGAAUAAGGACCGGCUAAUUCCGUGCCAGCAGCCGCCGCCG